UAGCUGUUUAAUGGGUAACGGUAUUGACCCGGACACUACCUUCUCUGCGUGCCGGUAUAGUAGUCCUUUGUCCCAGAUAUAUCUUUCCCCCUCUAACCCUGCUUGAUCUUUAUCAAUGCGGUCUUUAUAUACCUGUAACGAGGGAUCUAGGGCCACUUCUGACCCAAACUCUAUAGAAUUGGCCCAUGGCAUGACAGGGGGUAGGGGAGGGUCAUUGCUUACCUGAGCCUCAGAGUGAUCGGAUGGCGCUGUGGUGCGGGCCUGUUGUCGGGUCACAACCGGGUAUGCUUCUUGUAUGGUGGGC
Non-coding RNA from Pelobates cultripes (western spadefoot toad), 304 nucleotides. The record is from the annotation of a GenBank genome assembly. Lineage: Eukaryota; Metazoa; Chordata; Amphibia; Anura; Pelobatidae.